AUACCGCGUGUGUGAAGAAGGCCCUAGGGUUGUAAAGCACUUUAAGUUGGGAAGAAAAGUUAUUGGUUAAUACCCAAUGACCGUGACAUUACCAUCAGAAUAAGGACCGGCUAAUUCCGUGCCAGCAGCCGCGGUAAUACAGAAGGUCCAAGCGUUAAUCGGAAUUACUGGGCGUAAAGCGCGCGUAGGUGGUUUAUUAAGUUGGAUGUGAAAUCCCCGGGCUCAACCUGGGAACUGCAUCCAAAACUGAUUCACUAGAGUACGAUAGAGGGAGGUAGAAUUCACAGUGUAGCGGUGGAAUGCGUAGAUAUUGUGAAGAAUACCAAUGGCGAAGGCAGCCUCCUGGAUCUGUACUGACACUGAGGUGCGAAAGCGUGGGUAGCGAACAGGAUUAGAUACCCUGGUAGUCCACGCCGUAAACGAUGUCAACUAGCUGUUGGGGAACUAUGUUCUUCAGUGGCGCAGCUAACGUAGUAAGUUGACCGCCUGGGGAGUACGGCCGCAAGGCUAAAACUCAAAUGAAUUGACGGGGACCCGCACAAGCGGUGGAGCAUGUGGUUUAAUUCGAUGCAACGCGAAAAACCUUACCUAUACUUGACAUACUUGGAAUGCUUUGUAAUGAAGCAGUGCCUUCGGGAGCCAAGAUACAGGUGCUGCAUGGCUGUCGUCAGCUCGUGUCGUGAGAUGUUCCGUUAAGUCGGAUAACGAGUGCAACCCUUACCCUUAUUUGCCAGCGAUUCGGUCGGGAACUAUAAGGGGACUGCCGGUGAUAAACCGGAGGAAGGUGAGGACGACGUCAAGUCAUCAUGGCCCUUACGUAUAGGGCUACACACGUGCUACAAUGGAGAAUACAGACGGACGCUAAGCCGCGAGGUGGUGCUAAUCCUAGAAAAUUCUUCGUAGUCCGGAUUGGAGUCUGCAACUCGACUCCAUGAAGUCGGAAUCGCU
Molecule: ribosomal RNA, 948 nt
Filed under: uncultured SAR86 cluster bacterium
Lineage: Bacteria; Pseudomonadati; Pseudomonadota; Gammaproteobacteria
Description: bacterial SSU rRNA
Rfam family: Bacterial small subunit ribosomal RNA
Source: RNAcentral